GCAAGUCUUAUUUUGAUUAUAUUAUUAUAUAUAAUCUAUAAGAUUGUAUUAAAAUUGAAUAAAGCUUUGUUUAUAUAUCGAUAAUGCCGGUAUAUAUAUCGUGUCUUGGCUAAUUACGUGCCAGCAGCCGCGGUAAUACGUAAGAGACUAGUGUUAUUCAUCUUAAUUAGGUUUAAAGGGUACCUAGACGGUCAAUAUAGCUUCUAUAAUGUUGGUACUUGACUAGAGUUUGAUAUAAGAGGGCAGUACUUGAGGAGGAGAGAUGAAAUUCUAUUAUACCAAAGGGACUCGGUAAAGGCGAAGGCAGCCCUCUAUGUAAAAACUGACGUUGAAGGACGAAGGCACAGAGCACAAACAGGAUUAGAUACCCAAGUAGUCUUUGCAGUAAAUGAUGAAUGUCAUAGGUUAGAUUAAGCUUUAAUUAAUUAGUUUAUCAGUAAUGAACUAACUAUUAAACAAUAUUUAGUCUAUAAAUGAAAGUGUAAGCAUUCCACCUCAAGAGUAAUGUGGCAACGCAGGAACUGAAAU
Molecule: ribosomal RNA, 528 nt
Filed under: Metarhizium anisopliae
Lineage: Eukaryota; Fungi; Ascomycota; Sordariomycetes; Hypocreales; Clavicipitaceae
Description: SSU rRNA
Rfam family: Bacterial small subunit ribosomal RNA
Source: RNAcentral